UUUUUUUUUUUUUUUUUUUUGUGGGGGGGAUAAAUAUAUCCACGGUGAAGAUAAGAAUGCAAUCAUCGGUGUGUCACCACUCGCUGAGUCCAUAUUAUUGGUGAAAAUGGUUUGAUAUCAAAGCUACCCCGAGCACAGGUCGUUAUUCGAUAUGGUUUGCCUAAGAUGAAACAAAUAUUUUGCAGACACUGGAAAUCUGCAAGGGAGUGAGACUGUGAGAGGGUGAGUGAGACAUUAGCUGUGAACUGCAAAAAGUUGAAACAAGAUUAAACAGAACAAACAUGAUGGGCCUAAAUGGGCCAUAAAAUAUGUAAGCCCAUAAAAAGAAAUGAAAAUUUACCCUUCCGUAGUUCCAUGCAUAGUACAAAAUAUCGUUAUCGACUAAUGUAUCGAUCUCCAAAAAAUAGAUAUAUCGGGAUAUAUUGGAAUCUAUCGGUGGAUAUUUUACAUGGAAUGUAUCGACUAAUAUAUCAAUUUGUUAUACAAAAUAUAUAUAAAAUCAAAUUUGGAAGUAUAUUUUUUCAUAGUAUUUACCUAAAAAACAUCAUAUCUACUAAAAAUAGAAUAAACAAAUUAUUUCUAAAAAAAAAAAUUUGAAAAAAAAUAAUAUUUCCAGAAAAUAUUGGAAAAUAUAAGUAAAUAUCGAAAAAUAUCGAAUAUAUCGGAAUAUAUCGAAAAAUAUCGGCCGAUAUUUUACAGAUACUUUAAGGCGAAAAUUUCGGAAAUAUAUCGUAUCGUUUUCUUUGAAAACCGAUAAAUAUCGCGAUAUAUCGUGAUAUAUCGCGAUAUUUUGUACUAUGGUUCCAUGUUCUCAUAAACUUCCUUCUAAGGAUGUAAAUGGUGCGGGUCAGACCCGUUUCCGAACCAUAUCUGUAUCUAUUUUAUCGGGUUUGGGUGUUUAAAAUGGAUCCGAAUACAAAAAUGGGUCGGAUCUGGUAAUCAAAUAUUGGACCCGAAUCGGAUCCGGGUCGGAUAUGGAUUUACACUAUUUGGGUCGGAUCCUCCUACAUCCAUAAAAACUUAGGGUAUCAAUGUAAAUAAAAUUCUAAAACUUUAUUUUUAGUUGAAAAAUGUGGAUAAUCUUUUACAUAAACCAAAAUAGAUUUGAUGAAUAUAUCUAAAGAAAUAAAAUUUGAUUUAAAAAAGAAAGAAGAAGAAAGAAAGGAAAAAAGAAGAAGGUAAGAUUAUUAGAAGAAAAAAAAAGGAAGAAUACAAAGACAAUUAUUAAAGUUUAACUCUAUAUCUCAUCUUUCAUUUUCUUCAUUUUCUUUUUAUCAUUCCGAUGUUUUUAAAGUCAAUUAUCAGUGAAAGUAAAUAUGGUUGUAGUUUUUAUAGAUAAUUUACGAAGAAUGAAGUUUUGGAAUUGAUAUUAUCUAGAUCCGAUGACUUUGUUAAUUCUUUGAUGACUACAAUUAAUUCGGGUCAAUCGGGUCGGAUCUGGAUUAUCCAUAUUGUAAACGGUUCGGAUAUGGUUAAGUAAAAUGGAUCUGAGUCGGGUAUGGUCCCAGAUCCAGGUUCAGGUAAAAGAAAAUGGAUCUAGAUAUGGAUAUAUAGUGAUCCGACCCAAACUCGCACCAUUUACAUCCCUACUUCGGUACUUCCUUCUCAAAUGAUGGUUUAACGAAGAAAAUUAUCAUUUGAUCUCUUCUUUAUGUUCAUAUCUAGGGUUUCUAUUUCUUUACCAUCAUAUAUCAAUAUAUCAUAGCUUAUUCUUAGUCAGUUCUGAAACUUGUGAAUUUAUUUGGGAAAAUUGGUUAAAACCCCCUAUAUUUUGACUGGGUUUGGGUGAACCCCCCAAUGUUGUCCAACAUUGGCGUUAACCCCCUUCCGUUAAGCAACUCCCAAAUUUCCGUCCAUUCAAAGUUUGUUUACCCAUUAUACCCCUAAUUUAAAUAAUUUGUCUAAGGUAGUGUUUGUUUCAACAAGUGUUCAGCAAUAAGUGAUUUUUAAGUGGUGGACCAGGCUAAUAAUAAGCGAAAAGUUAUUUUUAUGUUGUUUGUUUAGAACCAGUGUUCAGAACAUAAUGGACUUUUUCAGCCAUUUUGAACCAGCACAAAUCUCAUGCUUAAUUUAUCUUCUUAAUGCUUAUUCUAAUUUUAUGACAAUUAUACCCAUGUAUAAUACCUUUCAUUAUACGUAUGUCCAAAGUCCACGUAGGAUUCCUUCUUCUCUAAUCUCAUGAGGAACCGACUUGCACUCUUGACCCUUCCAAGCUAACUGAUUAAUACAUAUUAUAUUUUAUUAUAUAAUCAUAAAUACAUAAUCUACUUAUUGAUCUUUAUAAAAUAAGGCCCUAUCUGUUUGUAGAUUGUGGAUGAAUGUGCAGUAUAUAAGUCAAUAAUAGUCAUUAGUCAUGAAAGAUCCAUUCAAUGUGUUCUUUCUAUGAUAAUUCAUUAGUUAUAUCAUAUGCAUUGGGUUUAAUUAUUAUAAAAAUAAAAAUGAUGUAUAUAAAUGCAAUUAAUUGUCUCGAUUUUUUAAUAUGUUUUUAUUUUGUUUGAUUUUUUUAACCAUGUUUUCUAUAUAAGUAUUUCUUAAAUGUUCAAUUAUUAUUUCGUGAUGUCAUUUUUAAAAAAAUUAAAAUUUCAGUUUAAUUAAGAUGCAUCCAAAGACUAGAAUAAAAGAGGAUAAAUUUGUCAAAUUUAAAAUAAUCAAUUGUAAAACAGAAGUUUUGAAAAAUGAUAAACAAACAACUUUUUCAGCAUUCAGUCUUCAGCAUCCAGCAUUCAGUAUUCAGCAUUCAGCAUUCAGCAUUCAGCAACCAGUAUUCAGCAUUUCAAACAAACACACCCUAAACCUCCAAAAUUUUGCUUACCCAUUAUAUCCCAAUUCAAAUUAGUGGAGUUAGCUUUGAUAACCAAUUUUUGGGUUUAAACAAAUUCACUUGAAUCAGGGGUAUAAUGGGUAGUCAAACUUUAAAUGAACGGAAACUUGGGGGUUGGUUAACGGAAGGGGGUUAACGUCAAGAUUUGACAACAUUAGGGGGUUCACGCCAAACCCGAUUAAAAUUUGGGGGGUUUUGACCAAUUUUCCCAAUUUAUUUAUCAAUAUGAUGACAAUGGAAACGGGUACGAUAUCUUGCCUCCCUAGAGAUUUCUUAAACUUGUUGAUAUCUUCACCAGACUUUCUAUUGAAGACAUCUUGCGGUGCAGGUUUGUUCAAAAAGAUUGGAAAUGAUCCUUUGUUAAUUGAAUUAUAUCAUUCUAGAAUAAACAAAGAUGAUCCCAAUUUUCUUGUUGUUUGUCAAACUAUAGAGUACAGAUGAUGAAGGUUUAAGUGAGAUUUACUUGGUAAAUGAUGAAAACCACUGUUCGGCCAUCGUAUGGAUUAUGCAUGACUAUGGAAAUCAAGAAUCAUGGACUAAAGAAUAUAUCAUUAACCAAGAAUUGCUUCGGCACUGCCCCUUUUUAUCAAAUUUUACGAAGGGUGGGGAAUGACAGGAUCUUAUUGCAUAGUCGUAAUGGUGAAGGUUAACAUAUGAAACAUUUUCUUAUUCGUGGAUUACCACUAAAGUACCAAGUACGUAAAUUUGGAUGCGGUUGUUCACAUCGGAAGCCUCAUUUCACCAGGAAGACUUGCUAAGUGUUAACUGUUGAAGUGCACCUGCCAGACCAACAUCAGUUCACUUAAAAGACUUGCUCAUAUAUAUAAGUGCCCCUGCCAAACCAAAUCGGUACCUAGGUUUCUUAGCUGAUGGGAUUUUAUUUCAAUAGUUCUUUUAUUAAGUUUUUUUUUUUUUUGAUUGACAAGCGGGGUUGAGGGGACCUCUACUCUUUAAAUUACGUAUGGAAACUUAUAUCAACAAUCAACUGUUGACGUGUCAGGGAAUUCAGCUGUCAAUCACUUGAAAGGCACAUACAUACCAACAGUGGAUUAGGACAUCAUGUGGCUUAGCUAAAAUGCUCCAAUCAGAUCUACAUGAAACCCAUACUUUCACGGAGUCAUGUUUCCGCAAUGCAAAUUUAGAAUCAAUAUCAAUGCCCCUCAACAAAUGUAGUAACCAAUUGGUGGUCUUACAAUAAAUCCUCCAGUAGAGCUCAACAAAACUAUGCCAAAGAUCCCAUAAAGGCUUAUACAGUUAGUGUUAUGGGGUAAAGUCACUCUGUGCACUAGUCAGAAAGGCAACCUUACUUAUUCACAAUGCAACUUCAUGAUAUUCUAUUCACGAAGAUGAAAAUUGAUGAUACGUUCCCUGUGAGGCAAACUGUAUUUCCAUUUUUCAAUAUUCUUCUAUAUAACUAGCUACAUCUCUCUUUGAUUGAUUUGAAAUUUUGAACAAUAAACACCAACAACCAAUGUGUUCCGUAAAAGAAAUAAUAACAUGGACUCUUCACGGUUCAUACUAUGAAUACAAGGCUCACUUUAAAGUUUGAAUAGCAGCACAGAAAGUAAAACCAUUUUAUCUUCAUCUGUCACUCAACCACGAAGGGAUGCUCUAGGUACAGCAGGUAAACCUAAUUCGUCUUCCGCCUAUAACGUAACAAAGAAAGUCAAAUGUGAGAAAAAACUAUUGCCACAAUCUUGGCAAACAAAUGGAUGGUAUUGUUUAACUUUCGAGUUUAUCAAGCAAUUUAGAUGGAACAAAUGCCUAUAUAGCAGCAAGUGUACCUGAGUAUUGUUCCUGUUGGGAGCUACGGCAUGGCCUGAAGGUGCUGACGGUAAGUUCAGUUCUGCGUCAAAGUCACUUUCCUUAUCAGCUUGGAGAUAACUAGGCACUCCAUCGGACUCGGUCUCCAUUCCCAUGUCAGCUUCUAAGGCAUCAAGCUCUGUGGCAAAACAACACAAAAAAAAAAAAAGAGAGAAUGAAAAAGAUUGUCAAAACAGGACUUGAAAAUUGCAGGGAAAUCACUGAAAUCCACAGACAAAUAGAAAAACUAUCCAACUCUAUAUUGGCUUACCGCCCAUAAGUUCUUCCUCAUCAAUGUCAUCUGGAACACUAUAACUUCUACCAAGAGACUCUUGAAUUUCAUUGCUUACAUCCAUCAAAUCCAUCAUUUCAUCUUGCAUACUCUACACACAUAAAUGUUCAUUUUCAUAAGUUGACCAAGUAUUAUAUAUAGGCCUACUUACACAAAAACCCCAAAAUUGAAACUAAUAAACAUACUCACAUCUAUAUCUUGAAUCUUAACAGUCUUCAUCAUUCCUUUCAACUCCUUGUUAGCAGAUUUCAAAGCAGUCAUCUGGAAAUCCAUGCAACAGCAAGUUCAUGAUGGAAGUUAGUCUACCAAAAUAUCUCAAAUAAGCCAAUAAUUACCACAAACAUGACUGAUUGGCUUGGAGUAUUUAGUCGCUAUCAAUAAUGCAUUUAUACCUGAAAGUUUAUACUCUACGUAAAACAAUAUGACUUUAUAUUGAAUCAAUUGUCAAUGUAUCUGAUAACAUAUUGUAAGAUGCAAAUACAGAAGUAAAGGUAGAUAUAUAGUAAACACAUACAGUUUGUUGGGCGUCUUUUAUUCCUUCAGCAGCAAAUGCAACUUGGUCAAGGUUAAAAGUCUGAUUGUAAAGCAUGUCACGUUGUCCUUCAUACCUGACAAGAGUGUAUUGACAUCAACAUAAUUAUUUGUAAGCUAACCAAAAAGAACUGAAACUAAAAACACUCGUGAAACAGGAGAACCAUCCCACAAGUAUAUCAUAAAAGAUGGUAAGUUUAUUAUCAAUAUUGGGGUUAGGGUUGGGACUUAGUAGGGAUUCGGGGGUUAGGAAGGGUAGCUGUUGGCUAAGACAUGCAUUCUAAAAUCUUAGGAGACCAAAUAAUUCAUGACCCUCUGAGUGAACAUCAGAAACACCCGCAUCUUAAAAGAAAAAAUCUGGUACUAUAGAAAAUGAAGAUCUAAAAGACAUUUUAAAGCGAGGACUAGGAGACAACACAUAACAUCUGAGCCAUCAAUGAGUAAAAGGGUGAAAACAUAAAACUAUGAGCACAAAACAAACCAUAAAGACACAAACUCAUACUUACUUAUUAAGAAUAGAACAUGCACUCUAGAAAUCUCACUUAUUAAUCAAACAACUUUUCCUAUUCGUAAAUGCUAAAGCUACAUAAUAUUCUGAUUGCAUGAUGGAACAUAAAUCUAACGUGAUGAUCAAUGGCACAGCACAGCUUAUGCUUUAAAGCAGUAGCAGCAAUGGGACAAAAACACGUACAUACGCUUUUGCUUGAGAACCCUCAUGGCCCGAGCUUUGACAGCUUCUUGAGCAGGACCAGGUCGCAUCUUUUUUAACUGCUCUUUAUAUUUACUGAGCUCAGCAUCAAGCCUUUUAAUCUUUUCAUCAACAGUUUCGCCUCUUUUAUUUAUCUGCAAGUAUUUUUGGACAUCAGCCAAAGAUUAUUGAGAGUAUACAAAGAAAAACUUGAACUGAAGGAAACCUCUAAAGACUAAAGCUCAUAUGUUAUCCAUUAUCAAAAAUCAAGUAAACAAUCAAACAAGCCUAAAUCAUUUAAAACAAAAUAAGUUCUCCAACAAUCCAAGAAAUGUGCAGACAGGUAACUCAUAAGUCAUAACAACGACACAUUGAUAACUAAUACCUGUUUAGUGUAUAAAGCUCAUUUAAAAUGGAAACAAGACAAGAUCAACUGGCACAAAUUGAUACAAAUCCACUCUAGACAAUAGAAGUUUCACUCAGCAGGUCAAAAGGGCGAUCCAAAUGAUUAAGGUGUGUUUGAUUUGUUGCGGAGAAUUAUUUCCAAAGAAAAUAGAGGACACUAUUGGAAGAAGAUGGGAAUUCAGGAAAAUGAGACAAAAAUAAAUAUAUGUUGUGUUCUCUUCUAACUUUUAUAACAAUCCAAUUAUGCCUUGAAUAUCUUCUGGAAAAUCAAAAUUUUGUAAGAAAAAACACCCAUAUAUGUUUCCAUAUCAUUCGCUCAGUUCAAGAAUUUGUAACAUCAGCUCAUGUUUCCAUGUCGUUUGCUCAGUUCAAAAUAUUGUAACAUCAACUCAGCUUCUGGUUUCAACUGCCUGGUUGAAAUAGUUUCAUUCAGUUUAACAAAUAUCAGCUAAUUUAGUGUGAUUAUCACUUAUUGUAAUAAAAGAUUCACACCCACUAUUUCAUUUGGCACAGACCAAGCUUGGUAGAACGUUACACCAUUCCUCCUCCCUCAAAGAAUUAUAACUCUGAAACCCCCCAAAAGAAUCUUCGAUGAAAAACACAGGUCCAAAACUUUAAAUCCUCCAUACAAUAUCCUUUGCAAUUGACAGAAGAAUAACAUUAACCAUUCACAAAGUUGUCCCUUACACUCACACUUUUUCGGACUUGGGGUGGCAUGACAUCUACUAUUAGUCUACUAAUAACUACAAUCCCAUAUACUAUUUCAACUUGCUUGUAUCUUACCAUUUCCAUAUACCAAUUGGUAAUGCAAGUGGUUGCCGGGUUAAUUAUUUAUACUAUGUUAAAUUCAAAAUUACACCCAGUUGCACUAUUAAGUAACAUGGAUCUUUCUAUGGAGUCUUUUAAACAUACCAAAGUAAGUCUUAAACCAUUUAGAAAUCUAAGUAGAACUGUGAGUCUAUCCUCUUACCAUACAUUCCGUAUUACCAAGCAUGAUAAAAAAAAAAAACAUCUUAAAGAAAUUCCCUUGUAUUUUGAUAUAUCUCAAUACCCUGUUUAUCAUUCACAUAUAAAUCGAGAUUAAGACUUCUAUUUUCAUAACAAAAGUAUAACAAGAGUCUGGUACUAAAAUAAAUAAGAGAUACUAGAAUGUAAUUAUGGACAUGAAGGCUUAAGAACAAACAUACAUCUAAAUUGUGCAUAUAGAACCAAAGUUGUACAUAAGUUCAAUAAAUGCAUUGACGCUUAAGGUAGAGUAACAGACGAUAUUACACAUUAGCUCCACCCAAAACUGAAUAAAGUAACAGAUAAUAAUCAUCUAAAACCCUAUUCUUGUUUCACUCAAUGUUGCACUCAAGAUGACGAAAUAGAAAACAGGUUAAAUCAAAUUUCCAUGAAAUUCGUGUAAUUGCAGAGAUUCUCAAUUUCGAUUUCAAACUAAACAACAGUCAAUCGAAUUGCAAGAUACAAAUCUUAAGAAAGUUUAGCAAGAUAAACAAGGUAAAUUUACCCUAUCGGUGGCAUCAUUAAUCGACGGUGGUGGUUCUUUCUCUUUCUUAACACCGAAAACUCUCCUCAUCUUUUCUUCCUUAGAUCGAUCGAUCGAAUCAACAAAACGAAUUCCUUAAAACAAUCUAUUCUGAUCUGAAUCAAAGUUGAUAAGGGUUUUUUUGAAGUUUUUAAGAUAAACUCGAAGAAUUUAAAAAGAACUAGGUUAUCAGUUAUAUGAUUAUGAACGAAAGUAAAACGAAAACAAUAAUAAAAAUUAAAAAAAAAAUCGAAAAGAAUUAAGUUGAAGAUAGAUGGAAAGAUCACCCAAGUCUGGGAGAUAUAACGUAUGUUGUGUAUCACGAGAAAGUUAGAAAGAAAGAAACUAUAGAAAAACUACUGUGUAGAUUCCGAGAAAGUGGUCCAACACAAAGAAAGACUCUAAAGUCAAAGUAGAUUAAACGCGUGUUCAGUUCAAUGUUGACAGCAGGCCAACUAACAGCCCAUUACUCUGUGGCCCAUAUGUCGUACUCUUUUAGGCCCAUUUAUAUAAUUUGAUGACUACAACUGAGGGUACUUUUGGUAUUAUGAAACAGCUUCAAAUCAUCGUGUAUUCGUGUGUGUGUGUGUGUGUGUGGUAAUUAUAAUGGUUCAAAAUGAUUAUGAAUAAACUAGUUUUUUUUUUUAGUUGAACAAUCAGUUUCAUUAUUUGUUUAUUUGGUUUUUUUUCUUGGUAAGGAAUCAAUUAUAAUAUUUGUUAAUUUAGAAAAGUUUAAAAAAUACUUAUUAGUUCAUAAAUCAUUUGAAUUUGUAAUGACCAAUUCUCUUUAACAUUUUUUUUUUCUUUUGGUGUACAGGCAAUGAUAUCAUUUUCAGAGGACUAGCUAGGAAAUUUGAAGAUCUCAUCAUCAACUGGGAUAUGAUCCUGGUGCUGGACAAGCAACUAAUUAAGGAAAAGAAGCUGCUGAUGCUUGAUGUGUAAGUGGUAACAGUCCUUUUGAUGCUCUACAUAGUCUCUUCAAUUCACCUGUUAUGUGGAGUCUAGCUGUAAUGCAAAUAUAAUGCUAUGGAAGUAUCGACUACUUCACAUUACCUGACGCUAUACCGACCCAUGGUGUAGGCUGAUCAGGUUUGUAAUUUUUUUACCAAUAAUUAAUAAAAUCAAUAUUUAACCACACAAAAAAAAUGUUUUUUUUUAUUGAUUAGUGGACUAAAUAGUCAGAUUAAUCAAUUACUUAGUGGACUAAAGAAUCUUUAUUUUUAUUUUUAUUCAAGAUGAUGAGGAAAUUUUAUUGAUAAAUGAGAAAAUUACAGAAAGGUGGAUAGGGUGCCGAUCCCUUCUGAAUAGCAAAUCCAACCCUUCGAAAUAUAUACUGUAUUCGUUACCAAAAAAAAAAAAAAAAAAUUAUGCUACUUAGUUCAUCAAAAUUUCAACAAACAUGCAAACCCAUCAAUAUAUAAGCUUUAGAACUCCAUAUUAACAUACAAACCAGCCACACAUUUAUUCAAAAGCAACAUAAUGCCAACAAGGGCAUUGUUAUUAGGUCUAUAUAGCUAGCGCACCACCACUAUAUAUAUUUAACACAUUCAUGGCAAACAAAUCCAUAUAACUGACAUAUAUAUCUGAAAGCACAAGGAUGAGUGAUAUAUCAGUAGGAGUUUUAAUAGUCUUCAUCUGACUUCUUCUAUGCCUUGGCGGCAAUGUGAGCAGCCAAUUUGUCAUUGAUCAUUGCAAAAAGGUCGAGAUAGUGAUGCGGAUCAGAAAUACCCUCACUGCACUUUCCAUAUUCAACUGUCCAUUUCACUGAGCACCCCUCAUUCAGUGGAAUAACAUGAAUCUUCACCAGAAAACUUUGAUAAUGGUUUGCCAGAUCUCCUUCAAAAACGUUAAGAACUAUCCACAUGUUUUCGUCAUCAAUAAGCUCAACCUUCUCUUUACAACUCAAAAGCUCAGUACUUCCUGUCAUGAAAACAAAAUUUGAUUUAGCAUAACAUAAUAAGAAUAUACUAAAAACUUGGAUUAAUUUCAUAUUUUAGUAGUCUCGAUCUGAUCGAUCUAGGGGCUAAUUAUAGGAAUUAACACAUUUUUCUGGUAAGUGAUUAAUAAGAGCAUGUCACGGUUAAUGAAUUGAAGCAGGCAAGAGACUUGUGGAAGCUUAAAUCUUUGUUAUAGUACCUGGGAGAACAUAUGUCCAAAGCCUAACAGUUCCCACAGUUUCACCAUCACCUUGGAGUAUUUUGGAAGUUUUGUAGGUCUCAGGGAAGACAACCGGAAGAUGGUGUAAAGUAUACUUAAUCAUUUCAUAGAACUUGUGAGGAGGGCAUUUCACUUUGGUUGCAAUCUCAAGCUUAUUAGAUUCUGCAGCCAUUUUACGAAGCAAAUGCGCAAUGAAGAUGAAUAGGCUUCAGGUGUACUGUAUGCCACAUUAAAAUGCAUUGCACGGUAUAUAUAAUGCAAACACAACCACCUAUGUCGAGAUUCAUGUGUAAAAUUACUAUAAAUAAAUGAAAUAAUAUUUUCUUGGAAGACCGGAAGAGUGGAAGGUUAGUUUUAUUUAUUUUAUAUUAUUUAUUUUAUAAUAUAAUUGAGAGCCGGCUAUUGCCAAGGCAAUAUUUGUUAUUGCAAAGAUCUAUUUUCUAUUAGACUUAUUUACCCCUCAAAUAUAUUAUUAUAUUUCUCUCAAUUUAGGUUUAAUUUUUUAAAAAAAUUCUUCACUUUAAAUCAAAAAAAUUUAACAAAUCCAAAGUAUAAAAUUAUUGGUGUAACUUAAUUCAAAUCCCACUAGGGUUCAUUGCACCUAUACGUGGUAGUGUUUUAUUUAUCCUACCAAUCCUACACCAAAAAAUUGAACAAAUAAUAGGUUCAAGAUUAUCAGCCUCUCUCUAUAUAUAGUUUCUGAUAAUGUAGUCCCUCAACAUGCUGAUAGUUAACAAUGCAUACAAAAGAUUAAAGGCGUACGUGCAAAUAUUGCCGAUCUGUUUCAGUGACUAGAUUGAAGGCAGGAGGAGCAGAAAGUCAGAAACUGGUUGAAAGUCGUCAGUAUGUAACUUGAAAGAAACAACAUCCAUAUCCAUAAACUAAAAGAAUGGACAGAGACAGAUAUCAUUUUCAGGACUAAUUCAACAAAUAAACAACUUUCGAAAUGGUUAUUACACACAAUGAGAAAUAAACAAGUAAACAAAUACAUCACAAACUUAUUACAGAUUGCUGAAAAAUGUAAUUUUCCUGCUAUUUUAAUGGUCCACUAGACUUCAUUGAGGCCUUCGGCAACAAGGUGAGCAUCCAACUUGUCAGUCAAUGCCGCAUAGUGGUUCAUAUAGUCAUGUGGAUCGGGAAAACUCUGAUCUAUCUUUUCAAACUCAAUAGUACAUUUAACUAAGUAUCCUUCUUCUUUUGGAUUGACUUGAAUUUUCACCACAUAAUGUUUAUAGAGAUUCAUGGCAUCUCCUUCCAAUACGUUAAGAGCCAAGAACAUUUUUUCAUCGUCAGCUUCUUCGAUCCUUUCCUUAGCAAUCAGAAGCUCAGAAGUCCCUGUUGUAGCCAUCAAUCAAUAAAUAAUAACAAGAACAAACACUAUGAUAUGCAAGAAAUAUUUGAUCUAAGAAUAAUGAACAAUUGUAAUUAACUUAUAUGAUCUACAUCUUACCUGUAACAACAUAUUUCCAAAGUUCAAUACUGCCUGUGCACCCACCAUCACCUUCAAGUAUUUCAGCACUCUUGAAUGUUUCAGGGAAGAUGAUAGGGUAAUAAUGAUGCUUGUAUUUAAUCAACUCAUACAGCCUUCGUGGAUUACUCUUCCCUUCCUUUGUCAUCUCAAGCUUACAGAUCUUAGUCUCAGCCAUUUCUUCCACACCAAACAAAUGAACAACAAUAACUAAAACAGGCUAGGGAAAAUUCCUAGAUACAUGAAUAUUUAAUUGACAAAUUCCUAAUCCACCCCGUUGACAAAUUGACUAUCACUAAGGAACCAGUUGUUAAUGGCUUUUAACUACCACUAGGAGCCUUUCACUCUUUCAUUAAUUAGGGUUUAAAAUAUUUUGAUAGUGGUUCUAUGCUAGGUUGACAUAAAUAUAGUCAUUGGUUGACAUACAGCCAGGAAGUAUUCACCCAGUUCUGCCAAAGAGUGGCACCUGGGUGGAAAAGGGAAGAUAACUCCACAGCUUCAAAUAUAUUUGUUAAUUUUUCCCUUAAAAGUCCUUAAAUUUGAAUAAGUAAUAUGAGAAUAAAUAUUUGGAGGAGUUUUUUUUUUUUUUUUUUUAGUUAAUGUUUCUUCUUCUUUCAACAGUAAAUUCACUACAUGUAACCUAGAAUAGACAUAAUUCAGGUACUAUCUUACCAAUAUCCCAAGGUGAUAGUACCCACACAAAGUGAUGGCUGGUUUCAAGUCCUAGUGAAAAUGUACAUCACCCUCAGAUAGCAAGUCUUAAUAAUAAAAAAAAAAGCUAUCGUUAUGAUUCAGAGAAUGAGAGGAACAGCUUCACAACUGUGUUAAAAAGGGAUUAAUACAAUAGACGUGUAUAAACUAUAAAGAAGACAGGUGCACUAUGCAUAUGAUAAUGAAAACAGAAAAUAAUAUAUUAAACUCGAUCUUAUGAUCUGGCCAAUGCCCACAUCCUGUUAUCGAAUCAAAUAUUCCUGAAACCAUUCUGGAAAAUAAUCCAACAAACCAUGGCUCACAAGGAAAGCACUUGAUGAUGUCUCAAUCGAUCAUCUGUAAUCUGUUCAUCUUUCACUUAUUAAUUUCAGCGAUCCAUCACACUUCAUUUAGGCCUCGGCAACAAGCUGAGCAUCCAACUUGUCACCAAACAUGAUAAACAUAUUCAUAAACUGUUGUGGAUCUGGUCCUUCCUCAUUUCCCUUUUCAUACUCAAUAGUCCAUUUAACCAAGCUCCCUCCACCCUUAGGGAUAACUUGCAUCUUUAGCAGAAAACCAUUAUAAUGAUUGGUGUGAUCUCCUUCAUAUAUGUCCCAAACUAUCAACAUAUUUUCAUCAUCAAUCACUUCAGUCUUUUCCUUGGCAGUUAAAAUUUCAGUUGUCCCUGUUAAAAUUAUCAUUAUGCACGAAUACAUGAUUAGAUGAUGAGAUUGUAAUAUUUAUAUAUAUAUAUAUAUAUAUAUUUGAUCAUUCUGAAUAUGUAUGUAAAUAUUAAUACCUGGGAGGACAUAUUUCCAAAGCCUAACAGAACCAACCCUCUCACCAUCUCCUUCAAGUACAUCAAUACUCUUGUAUGACUCAGGGAAGACAGUAUGGAGGUGAUGAAGAGUGUAUUUGAUCAUACUGUAGAACUUCUGAGGGUUACACUUUAUUUCCUUUUCCAUCUCAAGCUUACCAGUGUUAUUAGUUGCCAUAUUUUCUUCUAAAGAUCGAGACCUCAACUUAAGAACACAAUACUGCUAUUUUCAUAUUGGGACUUGAGACUAGGGAAUCAUAUAUAGCUCAUGAAUAAUCCCAUGUCAUCAAUGAAAAAUUAAAAUAAAAAUAAAAUUUCAUCAAGAAAUUGAUAUGUGGUCUACGUCAUAACCAUUUGAUGUUACUGAUAGUUGUGAGAUAUUGAAUAUUGUACAAUUCUAAAUUGAACAAUAAAAUUUCAUCAAGAAAUUGAUAUGUGGUCUACACCAUAACCAUUUAAUGUUACUGAUAGCUGUGAGAUAUUGAAUAUUGUACAAUUCUAAAUUGAAGAUUUGCAGUUGAAGAAUAAUAUUGUAGUUGCAAAAUGAGGUUAUGUGUAGCUCUACUGUACAAUUCAAUUGAAUGUUGUUAGCUCUAUUGGCAUAUAAAAAGCGACUAACAAGAACAUCGUGGAUCUCAAAUGAAAUGGAUUUGCCAAACCAUUACAAAAUCUUUUAGCAAAAAGAUUUUUAGCCUGUCAGACAACCGUGUGACCAUCUCAAGCCACCAGGGUAGCUGAGAACGAUCCUCUACAGCCAGAAGACUCACAUCUUGAAUCUCAGAGAUUAAUCACGCUCUGAUCACACGGUCCUGGUUCAUCCACCAAGCUUUAGUUACCGUCUCCUCCACUCAAGGAUACAGAGGUACUUCCUAUAGAACAGAUCCUGUUCAAGUAAGGUCGUACUAAAAACACUCGUUUCUUUGUUCAAAUAGCAUUACCAAACAUGUUAUUUGGUCAAUGUGGGACUAAACAAGGUAAGGUUUAACCGUUUAACUAGUGUAUAUCCCAUCCUCGAUUCUGCUGUUUGAGCUCAUUUUUCCCACCCACCUUAAAAGGUCUGAAACUGCAUAAUAAUAUAUAUCUAACAGAGUUGAACUUGGGUUUUGCAUAAGAAGAUAUUUCUCAUCGAGUCUUUCUACUCGGACUGUGAUUCAUGGCCAAUUAAAACUCCUUUUCAGGCUAGAUUGGGGCUAUUACACACUGACCGGCUAACUACAUCAAAAUAUAAUUGUAUAUCUCAACAAUGUGGCCUUCAAACUAAUACAUAUUGUUGAGCUGACGAGGCCGGGGGCUAUAGAAGAAGUUUCGUUUAAAAAAGCGGUUGCAGAUAUUUCCUUGCAGCUCUGUCAACAGUUGGAUGCAAAUACACUAGGCGUCACUAAGAAAAUUGCAGGCAGAUAUGCACUGAAACUACAUACAGUAUUAUCAGCGUUCCCUUCGAUGAAGUAAUCAGAAAUUUUAUGAGCAAAAACAGUUUCAAUUUUAUGACCAUCACUGCAGUUGCCACUCUGUUUCAACUUUCAACUAGUUGCGAACUAAAGACGUACUUGUUCC
This 14754-nucleotide long non-coding RNA is filed under the name Aquilegia coerulea. RNAcentral describes it as "long non-coding RNA (ACOE_LNC000837)". The record is from RNAcentral. Lineage: Eukaryota; Viridiplantae; Streptophyta; Magnoliopsida; Ranunculales; Ranunculaceae.